CGACUCUGGUUUCUCUUCAUUACGCACAAGCCUUUCGCCUUUUACUAAAGACUUCCGUGGAGAGGAACACUUACGAGUUCAACAUAUUUUGGGAAGGGCUUUGCUUCUGGCAGAGCC
RNAcentral lists this small nuclear RNA (117 nucleotides) under Salmo trutta (river trout). RNAcentral's name for it is "U5 spliceosomal RNA (ENSSTUG00000031615.1)". It matches the Rfam family "U5 spliceosomal RNA". From Rfam's summary of the family: U5 RNA is a component of both types of known spliceosome. The record is from Rfam by way of RNAcentral. Lineage: Eukaryota; Metazoa; Chordata; Actinopteri; Salmoniformes; Salmonidae.